GAUGAAGAACGUAGCGAAAUGCGAUAAGUAAUGUGAAUUGCAGAAUUCAGUGAAUCUUCGAAUCUUUGAACGCACAUUGCGCCCCUUGGUAUUCCGAGGGGCAUGCCUGUUCGAGCGUCAUUAUAACCCCUCAAGCUCAGCUUGGUGUUGGGGCCUGCUGCACUGGCAGCCCUUAAAAUCAGUGGCGGCGCCAUCUGGCUCUAAGCGUAGUAAUUCUUCUCGCUAUGGAGUCCUGGUGGAUGCUUGCCAUCAACCCCCAAUUUUUCUAUGGUUGACCUCGGAUCAGGUAGGGAUACCCGCUGAACUUAAGCAUAUCAAUAAGCGGAGGA
Molecule: unclassified non-coding RNA, 329 nt
Filed under: soil metagenome
Description: partial contains 5.8S ribosomal RNA, internal transcribed spacer 2, and large subunit ribosomal RNA
Rfam family: 5.8S ribosomal RNA (bases 1-120)
Source: RNAcentral